RNAcentral lists this ribosomal RNA (498 nucleotides) under uncultured bacterium. RNAcentral's name for it is "partial 16S ribosomal RNA". It matches the Rfam family "Bacterial small subunit ribosomal RNA", at positions 30 to 523 of the family's 1533-position model. The record is from RNAcentral.
AUUGAACGCUGGCGGCAUGCUUUACACAUGCAAGUCGAACGGUAACAGGCCGCAAGGUGCUGACGAGUGGCGAACGGGUGAGUAAUGCAUCGGAACGUGCCCAGUCGUGGGGGAUAACGCAGCGAAAGCUGUGCUAAUACCGCAUACGAUCUAUGGAUGAAAGCGGGGGACCGUAAGGCCCCGCGCGAUUGGAGCGGCGGAUGUCAGAUUGGGUAGUUGGUGGGGUAAAGGCUCACCAAGCCAACGAUCUGUAGCUGGUCUGAGAGGACGACCAGCCACACUGGGACUGAGACACGGCCCAGACUCCUACGGGAGGCAGCAGUGGGGAAUUUUGGUCAAUGGGCGCAAGCCUGAUCCAGCAAUGCCGCGUGCAGGAAGAAGGCCUUCGGGUUGUAAACUGCUUUUGUACGGAACGAAAAGGUCUGGGUUAAUACCCUGGGCUGAUGACGGUACCGUAAGAAUAAGCACCGGCUAACUACGUGCCAGCCGCCGCAGUAA